This 396-nucleotide ribosomal RNA is filed under the name uncultured bacterium. RNAcentral describes it as "partial 16S ribosomal RNA". It matches the Rfam family "Bacterial small subunit ribosomal RNA", at positions 361 to 774 of the family's 1533-position model. The record is from RNAcentral.
AUCUUUGUCAAUCGGCGAAAGCCUGACGUAGCCAAGCCGCGUGAAUGAUGAAGGGCCUAGGUUUGUAAAAUUCUUUCACCGGGACCGAGAAUGCCGGUAACGGGUGAAGAAUCUCGGGCGAACUCCUUUCCAGCAGCCGCGGUAAUACGAAGGGGGCUAGCGUUGCUCGGAAUUACUGGGCGUAAAGGGCGCGUAGGCGGACAUUUAAGUCAGGGGUAAAAUCCCAGAGCUCGACUCUGGAACUAACUUUGAUACUGGGUGUCUUGAGUGUGAGAGAGGUAUGUGGAACUACGAGUGUAGAGAUGAAAUUCAUAGAUAUUCGGAAGAACAAAAAUGGCGAACGCGACAUACUGGCUCAUUACUGACGCAGAGGCACGAAAGCGUGGGGAGCAAACA